Long non-coding RNA from Passer domesticus (house sparrow), 687 nucleotides. RefSeq lists it as uncharacterized. The transcript is spliced from 3 exons. The record is from RefSeq and is a predicted model, not a curated record. Lineage: Eukaryota; Metazoa; Chordata; Aves; Passeriformes; Passeridae.
CUGGAGUACUGUUUAACAACAAAUGAUCUUAUUACCUUUGCAACGAAACCCACAGAGAAGUGUGUCAUGUAUAAUUUUUCAUUGUCCACAAAGCCUGUGACAGCAUCUUCCAGGAGGGCUGAGCGGCUUUCACUUCCCUGUAAACCGUGUGUCUGAGCAUUUGUGAGCGCUCAGAGCUCACUGUUUUCCUGCUGAGGCGCUCCAGACUCGAGACAAGUGUGUUCCUUGAAGCACGAGCUCUGAGCUCUGUUCCGAUUCAGGCUGAAGGUGCUGAUGGUGUCAGCAGGAGCUCCCUACACCUGCCUGUGUUCUGUUUUUCCAGAAGUUUCUGGAGUUGUAUAUUAAAUCUCAAGAGAACCCACAGCUGAAGUUUUCCUAAUAAUGUGAGAAGCUCACUGAUGCAAUUUUCAGACUGAAGAGUUUACCACAGUCUGCAGCUACCCACCUAAUCGCAGGUAUGGAGAAGACAAAGACAGACUGAUCCCAGACAUGUAUGGUGACAGAAGUUGGAACAUUGAGAAGUCUAAUUACAUAUAAGAGAAGACCUUUAUCAAUGUAAGGAAGGCCAAACACUGGAGGUGUGCAGAGCACCUACAGAGUCUGCAAUUUCGGAGAUGUUCAGAAUGGAUAAAACUGUAAACAGCACACUCCAGCUGGACAUGGUUUGAGCAGAGAACUAGAGAAGAU